GGGGGCGAUCCGGUUUCGACGUGGAUUGCAAAACCUAAGGCGCAUGCCGAGGAUGCAGCUCGCCUCGUUAAACUGGCUGUAAAUUAAUAGUUGCCAACGACGACAGCUACGCUCUAGCGGCUUAAGCCCGCUAGCCUCUGACCAAAACUUGCUUGUGAGGUUUGGAGCCUUUCGGGGCGCUCAGGGGUCGACUCAACACAAGCUUCGCGCCGAUUCUGUCCGGGGGUGAGGCGCUAAAACUAACCGGAACCGCCGUUCGUCACCCUGCCGGUCGGGGGACGAAAGGUUAAAAUAAAGACCAGGCUACGCAUGUAGUGCCAAGGGCAGAGGAUUUGCGGACGGGGGUUCGAUUCCCCCCGCCUCCACCA
RNAcentral lists this transfer-messenger RNA (368 nucleotides) under Candidatus Competibacteraceae. RNAcentral's name for it is "Competibacter sp014879435 Standard tmRNA". It matches the Rfam family "transfer-messenger RNA". From Rfam's summary of the family: Bacterial tmRNA, also known as 10Sa RNA or SsrA, is named for its dual tRNA and mRNA-like properties. Its role is to liberate the mRNA from a stalled ribosome. Lineage: Bacteria; Pseudomonadati; Pseudomonadota; Gammaproteobacteria. RNAcentral also lists the same sequence under 1 other name. The record is from RNAcentral.